Rosa rugosa (rugosa rose) is the source of this 1108-nucleotide RNA transcript. RefSeq lists it as uncharacterized. NCBI's taxonomy places the organism in Eukaryota, Viridiplantae, Streptophyta, Magnoliopsida, Rosales, Rosaceae. The transcript has 4 exons. The record is from RefSeq and is a predicted model, not a curated record.
GAGCAUUGGGUCCCAAAUACUGAGUACAGCAAUAAGAAGUUCACUACUGCUAUAGGGAUUGAGGUUCGAAGUCGAGCUCCGGUAUGUUACCGCGGAUGGAAUAAGAUUCCAGGAAAUAUUAAGAGGACACUACGAGAGGGAUUGACGGUACACUUUGACGUGGAAAUAGAACAUCCAAAAAUUAUCUAUUUUGUGGAUGAUAAGAUGCGCUCGGCGUAUACUCAAUUCAAGUGGAAGUUGCACGAUCAUUACCAAAAAUGUGGCACACCUGUUCGGGGACGAGCCACACUUCCUCCACCUGAUCUAUGGGGUGAGAGAUCGACAGAGGAGUGGCAUUGGCUAUGUGAUAAACUCUACACCGAUCCAAAAUAUAUUGAUAAAUGCGAGAAGAAUUCAACUAGCCGAAAGAGACAAAGGAGUACGCAUCGUGGUGGAGCCAUGCCUUUCAUUCAACAUGCUUUGAGGACAGCCAAGGUAAAUUUAAUGAGUUUCAAGUGAGUUAAUUAAAAUGUUAUCUUGAAUAAUUGUUAAUUUGGGAGAUUUUUUUAAAUUGCAGGAGGGCAAUCCUUUGUCUUUCAUAGACAAUUGGGCAGCUAUGUAUCGAGAUUCAAAUAGCAAUUGGGUUAGUGAUGCUGCACGUGAUAAAUAUGAUCGACUGAAAAAUAAGAGAGAAGAGCAUAAGGAGAAACUAACCCUGGAGGCACCAGAGGGUACUCCACCAGAAUCUGUACAAGUUACUGCGCGUGAUGAGAUUCCAAUCAUGGCUGAAGAGUGUGGAAGGAAGGGAAAAAGAGUUCGUGGUUUAGGCUCGUUUCCUCGCAUGGAGCUUCCAACUGUUACAUCUUCAACAGCUGUGAGUUCUGAGAUGAACGUAAUGCAAGAUAAAGUGAAGAAGCUUGAAUCAACUGUGGACACUAUGCGGUCACAAAAUGCACAGCUAAUGACAAUGUUGAAGAAGUUCAUGAUGAAUAGCCAAGGUUGCUUUGCUGAUACAGAAAACAUUGACAUGAAUAUCGUAGUACCCAACAGUGAAGAAGAUGAUGUCUUUGGAAGAGAUGAAGACGGUGUCCAAAACAAUGGAGAUAAUUCCGAAACAGAGGAUUUGGAG